Long non-coding RNA from Astyanax mexicanus (Mexican tetra), 472 nucleotides. RefSeq lists it as uncharacterized. The record is from RefSeq and is a predicted model, not a curated record. The transcript is spliced from 5 exons. NCBI's taxonomy places the organism in Eukaryota, Metazoa, Chordata, Actinopteri, Characiformes, Acestrorhamphidae.
GGAGGUUUUUUUUUCACGGGUACGAUGGUGUGUACAUGGUUGAUUGACAGCGUUUAGUUUGAGAGUGCGCAGGUGUGGGAAAGGGCAAUGGCAGUGAUCUGAAGGUGCGGAUCAUAGUGAAAAGAGAGCAGGUGUUCCAGUGUGUCUGUGCCACGCAGACGAACUGUAGGCUGUUCCCAGAUACUGAAAACAAUGCCGUGGUGAUCAGCUUUCAGGAAGGGCCAGUGGUUUGUGGUGAUGUUAAGGUCAUGUUUGAAUCCAGGGCUGGUCUUCCAAAGGGGUAUGAGGACUAUCCUUUCUAUUUCUGGUUCAACACUUCAUUUGUAGAGAACAACAGGCUCUAUCUGUCAAGGGAGGAACUGGACAACCCACGUAAGUCCAAAACCUGGGACAUCUACAAGGAGGACUUUGGUGUGACCGUGUCUUUCAGUGACCCUGCACUUAUGUAGCAGACGACACUUGCUUGUGUAUC